RNAcentral lists this unclassified non-coding RNA (163 nucleotides) under uncultured Curvularia. Its description in RNAcentral is "sequence contains ITS2". Lineage: Eukaryota; Fungi; Ascomycota; Dothideomycetes; Pleosporales; Pleosporaceae. The record is from RNAcentral.
GUACCCUCAAGCUUUGCUUGGUGUUGGGCGUUUGUCUUUGGCUUUUGCCCAAAGACUCGCCUUAAAACGAUUGGCAGCCGGCCUACUGGUUUCGGAGCGCAGCACAUUUUUGCGCUUGCAACUAGCUAAAGAGGCCAGCAAUCCAUCAAGACCUUCUUCUCAC